RNAcentral lists this ribosomal RNA (529 nucleotides) under [Candida] sp. Levazot2. RNAcentral describes it as "SSU rRNA". It matches the Rfam family "Eukaryotic small subunit ribosomal RNA", at positions 894 to 1450 of the family's 1831-position model. Lineage: Eukaryota; Fungi; Ascomycota; Saccharomycetes; Saccharomycetales. The record is from RNAcentral.
GUAUUCAGUCGUCAGAGGUGAAAUUCUUGGAUUGACUGAAGACUAACUACUGCGAAAGCAUUUGCCAAGGACGUUUUCAUUAAUCAAGAACGAAAGUUAGGGGAUCGAAGAUGAUCAGAUACCGUCGUAGUCUUAACCAUAAACUAUGCCGACUAGGGAUCGGGUGGUGCUACUUUGCCCACUCGGCACCUUACGAGAAAUCAAAGUUUUUGGGUUCUGGGGGGAGUAUGGUCGCAAGGCUGAAACUUAAAGGAAUUGACGGAAGGGCACCACCAGGAGUGGAGCCUGCGGCUUAAUUUGACUCAACACGGGGAAACUCACCAGGUCCAGACGUAAUAAGGAUUGACAAGUUAGAGACUUCUCUUGAUCUUACGGGUGGUGGUGCAUGGCCGUUUUUAGUCCUUGGAGUGAUUUGUCUGCUUAAUUGCGAUAACGGACGAGACCUUAACCUGCUAAAUAGGGCUGCGAGCAUCUGCUCGGGUGCUCUUCUUAGAGGGACUAUGGGUAUCAAACCCAUGGAAGUUUGAGG